UACGUAGGCGGCUUUGUAAGUUAGAGGUGAAAGCCCGGAGCUCAACUCCGGAAUUGCCUUUAAGACUGCAUCGCUUGAAUCAUGGAGAGGUGAGUGGAAUUCCGAGUGUAGAGGUGAAAUUCGUAGAUAUUCGGAAGAACACCAGUGGCGAAGGCGACUCACUGGACAUGUAUUGACGCUGAGGUACGAAAGCGUGGGGAGCAAACA
This 207-nucleotide ribosomal RNA is filed under the name uncultured bacterium. RNAcentral's name for it is "partial 16S ribosomal RNA". It matches the Rfam family "Bacterial small subunit ribosomal RNA", at positions 568 to 774 of the family's 1533-position model. The record is from RNAcentral.